GGACUUUCUCAUAAAUAUAUAUCGUCGUCUUGCCUGGCACUGGUACUGGUGCUCGUUCCAGAUUUUCAUGCCCGUUUGUUGUUGUGCUUAUCGCGAUUACGGGCACAAAGUCCAGAGAGCCGCAUUACCACCUGCAAGCAGCGGCAGGAGCAGCGCAGACCGUCCACAAAGUGCGUAUAUGAAAAUGCAAUUUAAUUAAGUAUUUUGUUCUGCAUGUGACAAAUCCAAGCUUAACACAGCCCAGGGGCUGUGCAGAGGAAACCCUGCCCCUCUGCUGGUAGUCUUUAAUUUUUAUCGCCUUGUAGUUGCCAAUUAAAAUGCAAUUCUCGUGCAAUUAAUUGCAUUUAACUGGCAGUUAAUUGCACAGAUUCUCUGCCUCAAGCUGCAAUCCCUUAAAACGUGAUAGGAUUUCGGGCUGCAAAGUAAAUUAAGAAACACAAAAACUUUGACAUUUAUAUUUGAUUGAGUGAAAAGCAUAAAUUGGAGCGGCUCACACAGUAAAUUCUGUAAAUAUUUCCGAUUGCAACGGCAGAAUGAAUCUGAUGGGAUUUUCCCUACUUUGGCCUCUUCUUUUUUGUUGAAAAAUUCUAUAAAAUAUAUGAAGAACUAUUACGAGUCGCUCGUGUAGUAAAAGAAAUACGAACAUAUUGCCAGAUUUUGACCAGCAUUUGACUGCAAUUUAUGUGGCAGAGCACACGUACAAGUUUUUUCGUGCAGAAAAGCGCCUUACAUGCAGGCCUACCCCCACAGACAUGGCUUACAGACAGUCGGCAAGUGGGCUUAUUUAUAAGAGCCCAGGGAAAAGCACUUUGGCCAGACAGUGGGGAUCUGCACUUACCUAUUGCGGCCGUUGUACGUUUUAUAGUAUUUAUGCAUGUCCUCUGCCAGCAGCAGGACUAGUGCAGAGAAGCUGCUUUUGGAAUUGGAGUGUGUGUAGAGCACACACACACACACACACACAUCGCAGGCACUCUGACAUUUGCCAAAAGUAACACUCCAGACUGAAGUGGAGCAGAGGCAGAGGCGAUGCAGUGCCAGUAGGCGCAUCAGAAAAUUACAUUUAAAAUAUAUUUUCCUUGGCAGCAGCAGGGGGGGAUGGCAGGGGGGAUAGACAUCUAAGCAAACAGCAAAAACAGCAAAUGGGCAACGAGCAAGAGGCAAGUGGCACAGGCAACAGAUGCCGCAACAACAGAAUUAACAAAAUAAAAACAAGUGCAGCCAGAGAACACGCACCAACAAAAUGGGUUGGGAGUUGGAAGUUCAGAUGAGAUGAGAUGGAAUUAAAUGUGAAAUGUUCUACAGGCGGAACGGGGGAGCGGCACUCAGCCUGUUUGCAUGUUUACACAAGCUCAACAUUUGUGACAGUGGGGGGGGACUCUCAUGUGAACGCAAGAUUGAUCCAUGGCAAACAAAGGAAAAAAGAAAAAGUCUUUCCUUCGAGCGGUCUGCGCUGGUGGCUAUCGCUCGUUUGUUUUGCUUAUUCCCCAUUUGUUGCUUUGCCUUGCUUUGCUUUGCUUACAGCUGUCCAGAUUUAUUACUAGCCCAAAAGGAAAAGACCGAGAAACAAAUCGCCAAACUUUUGCCAGCAACUUUCCACGUACAACUGCACUCGCUCGCUCGCUCGCUCUCUCUCUCUCUCUCUCAGGCAUUCUCCGUGAGUGGCCUUUUGUCAUAAAGCUUUAACACAUAAAAAUGUUAUUGUCCGAUAUGGAGUUAGGUUUGCUGUAGCUUAUGCUGAUUUGUGUUGACCCAGUAAAGCACAGAGCCCGAAAGAGAGAGAGAGAGAGAGACUGCAAGUUUUAUGGCUCUAAGACUGAUUUAGGAAAGCUUUAAAAGGGUCUCUGAAGUGCAGUGAGGCGUUGUCGUGACUCGGAAUUAUUGGCUAACAUUUCAGGCUCAAAAUCGACUGAUGCUCGCACAAUAAAUUGCCCUGAUUUAAGGUUCAAAUUUCACUGCAUGCUCGGCCAAUGUGUAACAAUAAAUUCCGAUAAUAUUGCAGUUUUUUUGUUAACCCACUUAACUCCAGCGCUGCCGCUACACCCGCAACGACACGCAGCGCACACCCCGGCAGAGUUUGCGCAAAGUUUCAGGCUCUUAUCUGCUGUCUAUCAGGAAAAUGUUAUGCGAUUUUGUUUACCUAUUUUAAUGAGAGCCGAAAAAUGCUCACACCAAGCGGAUAGCGCGAAAGGAGAACUCAAAACAUACACAAGCGAAAAACCAGGUCACAGCAAACAGAAUAGAAGGAGACCAAAAUUUAUGCAAAACUCAAAAACAAAGCAAACAAAAAAAAACGCACCAAAAGUCCAGGAGGAGGAAGCGGCCGAAGUGCGAAUGUGUUGUGUGUGUGUGUGUGUGUGUGUAUUGUAUCAAAUUGAAAUGCACAACAGUAAAAUAAUGAAUUCUUUUGUUUGUAUUUGCAUUUUGCUUGUUGUUGUUGACGGGCGCGCGCGUUUGCCAAAGAACCGAAAACCAAACCGAUUCUAACCAAAACACUGAAAAACAAGAAGGUGGCAGCAGGUCUGCCUACACAGCACGCCGAAACACUAAAUACCCUGGCAGGUGUCUGCUACACUGCUAGAAAUAUUAUGGAACUUACUGACAUUUUUGCAGAUGUGCCCCAAAGUUGGCACUGCCUGAUGUGAAAUUGUUUGUGGUGUGAAAAGGUUCCCAUCGGAUACCUGCCAUAUGCCAUAUUUAAAUAUUAUUUUUCCCAAGUUUUAAUGCCUCACAAAACCCUGCUAAGAGCCCCUAAUACCCCUGUGCAGUGUGCCAACAAUGAAGAAUGAAAAACACACGUCACACAGCAGCAGAACAGCAGCAGAACAGCAGCCCUAGCAGAAACAACAAAUGUUACAAAAGAACGCACGUGUAUGGCCACAGUCAAAAUAUAUUUGCAACUGUGUGGAUGGAAAUUAAGCAUAUAUGGAAAUUAAUGUGGGUACUGUGUAAAAGUUUUUUGUUGCUGUGUUCCCUUUGCUGCUGUCCAGCAGUGAAACGAAAAUGUACUCGCAACAGUCAACAGUCAACAGUUUGUGCAAAAAGUUUCUGACCCCAACAAAACGUAUACCAUAAAGUGUAUAAAUAAUUUACGAGUAUGAUCUGCUUUGUAAUACACACAAAGAGAGAGAGUGGAGCGAGAAGUGAACUCUUUUCGAUUGUCUUUCUUAAUUUAGUUGAUUUUGUUUUUGGUUCUUGGUUUUGGGCAGCUAAUUGCACUUCUUUAUGUGUGGGAAAAUGCAAAAAGAAAAGAGCAAUUAGAGCUGUUGAAAAUAAUUGCAUGGCUGGGCUGGCAGCACAAAGCCAGGAAGGAAUUCGAGGAAAAUUAUAAUUUGAAGCCCUAAUAACGCAGAAAGGUGUGCGCCAACGAAAGGAAGUUAGCUGAAGGCAAUCGCAUGGGCGUAGCACUGGGGGCGGGGUCGUGAGUUAAGUAUAACCCGAGUCGAGUCGAGUCAAGUCAAUCACGGGCGUAAGUGGCUGGAAAAUAGAUACGCGCGAAGGGAAGGCUGUGUGUGGGGUUGGGGAGUUUAUGACGGCGGCUGGAACGGAAUUUUAAUAUUAGAACAUGUGCGGUGGGGCAGGGCACGCCCACUGUUUGAGUUUUGCCCCAUGUUCGAUGUGUACCACACACACCCCCGCCGCCCCAUGUCUAAGUGCCAUCAAUAAAACAUUGAAAUGCCCACAACCAACACAGAUUUUCACAUCAAAAUACACUCCACUCGGCAUUAGCGUUUGCUGUUUAUAUUUAGCUUAUUCCUCUCGUCGGUUUAUGUUACCGCAAACUGCACACAAAGGGCUGAGUACGCCCGCCUCCUAAAAGUAAAAGCAAAUAAUGCACGGCAAACAUUUCAUUUAAACAAUCAACGUCAAUGAUCUGUAAACAACAAUGAAAGGGGUUUUUUCCUUUGCUUUUUACUGCCGAGCAAGAGGCGUGCACAUGCAUGGCCCGUACAUCAUACGAGAGGCACGAGGCACGGCCAUUCUACAGGGCAUAAACACACACUCACACAUCAAGCAUACGCCCUGUAAGACACAUUUGAUAUGAAGGUAGCUGCUCGCGGGUUACUUUCGGUCUACAAACCGUGAAAAUGUAUUAUUCAACAGCAACCGAAAACCCAAACUAAAUAGAACGAAAAGAAAAACGUGAGUGUACAGGCAGGCAGGCAACAGAAGCAGCCAGAGACAGCAGCAGGCAGGCAGGCAGCAGGCAACAAGAGAGGUUUCCGCCUUGCCAGCCUUGUUGCUGUUUGUGUUCUGUUCGUUGUUUUCGUAGCUGCCUCACACGUGCGCAUAAAAUGUGACUUCAACAAAAAUAAAUAAGCCACAAAAUGCUAAAAGCAUAGCUGAGCAUUUUCAAUGCUAAUUACGCUCCCUUAAAGCUAUCAAAAGCCAGUUGUAAAUUUCAUUUCGAGUGCCAUGAAAAUUUAGCCUUCUUCAUUAAGGCAGCGGCGCACACAUGAGACUGGAGUCACUGCCACUGCCACUGCCACUGCGGAUGCUUCUGGUGUCAUUGCAGCUGCUGCACUCUGCUCCGACUACGUUAAAAUUGACAAACAAGUUUUUGGGCGCUUGCUUAACACCAAGGCAAACACAUGUUUACAGCGACUCGCACACAGGCGCCCUGUGUGAGCAGAGUACUGCUCAAGUAAUUAUUAAGUGCUGCUCUUUGCGGUGCCAACAGGCUUGUGUGUGUGUGUCUCAGUUUUUUCCUCCUUGGCAAUAUUUUUGAGGGCAAAAGUCGCAGCCACAUUGUCAACAAACUUGAAGGAUUAUCAGAGUCAACAAAUGUUGAGGCAGAGCCUUAAGUCGAGCGGCUAGCUGGGCUGGCCACUAAACUAUUCAAAUAUGCAUUUAAGACAAACAUUUGCCUCUGACAAAAUGCAAUUUUGACCAAGAGAACGAGCAGCUGCUACAGCUACAGCUACAGCUACAGCUCCAGCUCUGUCGCUGUCUGUCUGCUCAUGAGUUAUUAUUGAACUAAUAAUUUAAUUUUGCUGUAAAUAUUCUUGCGGUCAUUUCGUUUGAAACUUAAUUUUAAUUUCAUUAAUUUAUUUCAGACCAUAAAUUGCCAGUAAAGAUAUUUUCGAGGCAGCCAGGCAGGCAGGCAGGCAGACCUUUUGCUAGCAAUUACAUUCCCCAUUUUAAAAGUAUGUCCGUGAGUGUGUCCGUGUGUGUGUCCGUGAGUGUGUCCCUGCCCAAGCGCUGGCAAAAUUAGUGCUCGUUUUAAUUGAGUUUGUUAAUAAUUCAGUAAUGGCCACUACAUAGCAUUCAUUCCACAGCCAGCAAGCCAGCAAGGCAGCAGUCCUUUGCCCGGACCGGGACGAGUCGAAGUUGGCUAAAUGGUUACAUGGCAGCUGGCAGCAACAUUUUAUGUGAUGUUAUAUGACUGCAGGCCAUAUACAAUUUCCAUAUGCCAUAUCCUCAUAUGUAACUGCAAUUGCAUUCCUCUCUCUCUCUCUGUGUGUGUGUGUGUGCGUGGCAAAAACUAAUUAACUAGUUCUGCAUUUGGCUCAUUUCAUUUGGAUGCUGCUGCUGCUGCUUUUUAUGAUUUUGAUUAAUUUUCAACCAUAAAUAUUUAUGCAGCUUUAUUAUGAGGUGCACACGGGGGGAGGCUGGGGGCAUUUAGUUUAGCUACGACUCCGAUGCCGUCUGAGAACUCGACGCACAAAGCAACGAGGGCAUCCCGGACAGUCAGGACAGUCAGCCGGGGCAGGCCUUUAAUGUUUUCCGGGUCAGUCACAGUCACUCACUUCCCUUGAGCCCGUUGUCGGCACUUUUGUUUGUCAGCAUGGACGAUGACACCGGCAGACAGCAGCGACAGACAGUGGGACAGACGAGGCCAGGCACUGGGCCAGAGACAGGCGAGGCCGACAGGGGCCAACAGAGCCGCUGGCUGCGCUUUUUACAUGGGGCAACAGGAGCAGCAGCAGUGGCAGUGGCAGUGCCAGGAGCAGGACAAAGGAGGCUCUCUCUGUCCUCUGUGCACUUGAGCGACUAAGCUGCAUCAGCUCAGUGGGCAGCAGCUGCGACUCAGGAGCUGACAAAUAAGCAGCAGAGAGGCAGGAGGAGCAUCAGACAUGCCGCAGCAGACAGAGAGAGAGAAAGGGGGGAGCGUGGGUGUCGUCUACUUUUCAUGCGGACAAAUUGAGCAGGACAUUGAAUUGUCAACCAGAGGCUACGCAGCAGCCCUUGACUGACGGAGCACACCGCCCUCGUGCCGUCCAGGAUGGCCGCCAGAAAGUCGCCAUCGCCAUAGCCAACGUGGCUGUCGUUGUCGUUUUCCCACUGCACUGCUGGCUUGAUUAUAUUGUUGACGUUGAUGUUGAUGAAGCAUGAUUUGAGUAUCUUUAUUGCAUUAUACUUAAAAACUAUUAGCGACUCGAUGGGUCCAGCCAUUGCCACUGCGCUUGACGUGAUUGCAUUAGACCGGAGCCCGGACAGGGUCUAGACCCAACUAGCGCUAAGCUGGUUACACUUUUGUUGCGUCGACCGUUGAGUGAUUGAUGUUAUUAGUCGCUUGCAAUGAAGCUUAAAUGCAGCUGAAUGAGAAAUCAAAUGAUCUCUCCCUCGCUCGCUCGCUCUGGGCAAGUAAUUUAUGCGCUGAUAACAAAGGGACUGACUUAACGAGCUUCUCUUUUUGUGCGUCAAUUUAACCAGCUAGAAAAUAAUGGCCCAAAAAACAGUUUACAACAUCUUGAUAAUGUUUAAUUUAUUAAUCCCAUCAAAGAGCAACAAUAGCAAUAAAAUGUUAACAAAUGACUGACAACAAGCAGCAGCAAAGCAGCAGCAAGGCAAGUUCCCAGAAGGAGUCCAAGGAGCAAGUCAAACCCCUUAUUGAGGCGUUGCAUGACAUUCGACUCGCUCGCUCACUGUGGCCUGCUUCGAGAUACAAAUCAAAAUUGAGCAUUUGAGAGUUUUAUUGCAUACGCUGGAGACAGGAACUAUGAAUUACGAUGCCACCCAAGGGGAGCAAAGGAAAGUGCCAGACCCAGACCCAGAGUCGAGUUGAGUGUCGCCUAAUCAGCUGGCCUUUGUGUGGCGUACACCUUAUCUUGAUAUAUACUCGCUGAGAGAGUGUAUUCGCACAUUUCUAGCACGAGCUGCCAGCACGCAAACGCUCAGCCACAUCGGGGCGGCCUUUGUUUGCCUUUGAUUUCCAUGCAAUGACGAUAAUGAUGAUGAUAGCUCUGCCCAUGAUGAUGUUACACCUUGUUGGGGCUGUCGGUAAUAACUCAAUUGGUCAGAUCGAUGGCGUUUUGAUAGGUCGCCGCUUUGUAUUGUGUUUUUGUGAGUGUAUUUGCCUUGAUUAUUAUUUGCAAAACGAACUGUGAGGCCUUGCCAUGCGGCGGCGCCCCACAAAAAAUCCAAUUUACCAAGUGUCAAAAGUGGCCAAUUUACUUGUUACUCUUUUUGCCAUUUUGCCACUUUGCCACAUUGCCUGACUUUCAGCUCCGUUCUGUCAACAAUGGGAAUCGGAGUGAAAUUGGCUGGAAGUCCAGCCGCGACAAGGGCCGGGCCACAAACUUGCAAAUGAAACUUUGCAAACUAAGUAAUAGAAAUGUUAUUAUUUGUCUAGCAGCGGCACACACACACACACACACACAUACACACUCCAUCCAUAAGUUGGGGAACCUUGCCUCGGUUUUGUGCAAGUUUUUGUUGCUCGUAAACUUCGCUCAUUAAAUAGCAUAUCCGAUCGGGUAUUGAUUUAUUUGUAGCUACAUUACUUCCAGCGAGCUCUCUCUCUCUCUCUCCUCUUUCAUUAUAAUCUAAAAUAUUGAACUUUGCCACUAAUUAACAUUCACGCACGCCCCUGCCCCUGCCCCUGCCCGUGCUCGCCUUUGAUUUCGCCUCUCUUGUGGCUUCAAGUUGAGACAACUUUUCAGCACAGAAUUUAUACAAAGUCAUCGAGGGGUGGCCCAACGUUCCCUUUGCUCCUGUGGGCCUGAAAGCCUGAAAGCCUGAAAUCAAAAUAAUUUAGUUACCACCUUCAGCGUCGUCGUCGUCGUUGUCGUUGUCGUUGUGCUGCAAUCGAUGUUGGCUGUCGGAAACUUUAAAACUUUUGCCCAACUGUUUGCACAAUAUCGCAUGUUGGGCCUCGCUUCAAGCACACCCCAGGCCCCAAGCCUGGGGCCAUAGAGUUCACCUGUGACUUAGAAUAACUCUGGACUGGCGGCGUAUAUUAUUACAACAGUUCAUCAAAAACGGUGAGCCGAAUGCCGUACUGUAUUUAUAGUCGAUGCUGAGCUGAGAGUCGACGUCAUCGCUAAUGUAGAUGUAAACGUUGCCGCUUUCGGAACGCCCCUGGGAGUCGCUUUUAUCAAGCAGCCCAUUGGGUAUUUUUGGGUAAACUUUGCCUGCCUGCUGACUGCCUGCCUGCUGACUGCCUGACUCACCUGGCUGGGCCGAGCCUUUAGUCACAAAAAGUUUUCGCUUUCGAUUUGCUGCCGACCCCUUGCAACCCGAGCCGUUGCCAGGCCGUGGCCAAAACGCAAAUUGUUGAAAGUUUGCACUAAAGUCGUUGAUUUCAUAGCUGAGAGGUGAGCUCAACUCGUUCAGAAAGUCUGCCAAAGUAGUUGACGUGAAUCGAUGGGUGGAGUGGGGAGGCACGAGACCAGGAACCAGGAAGCAGCCAGCAAGGCACGUAAUUGAGUAAAGUUGCUGCGGUGCAAAUGCGAACGAUCCACUUGAGAAGCGAAGCGCUUCGGUAUGUUGGUGUUUCGAUAUAUUGCCUCUGCGUCAGCGUCUGGCUCUGGCUCUGGCUCUGGCUCUGGCCACGACGCGACAAUGAAAACUAACAAUAACUUUCAUGCAGCGCACAGAGAGGAGAGGCACAACCUCUCUCUCUCUCUCCCUGCCACAACCUCUUGAAUGGCCAACAAAACUAAAAUCAUAGGCCAAGUCCCAAGAGAUUUGCGAGGCGCAGCAAAUACACUCGAAAUAUACGUACUCCUGGGCUUUUUAAUUGUCUACCACGGAAUGUGUGUGUGCUGUCCGUAUGCUGUCCGUGUAUGCUGUCCGUAUAAGCACUCUGAUUGUUUCCUUGCUGCUGCUGCUUCCGUUCUGUGUGUGGAUUGGGUCUAUGUGUGCUGGCUUCCGUUUUUGGCUUCAGCUGGGAUACAUUUUGUGAGCAUUAUUUGCUUCGUUUUUUGGUUGAAUGUUGCAGCAGGCAGCAAGCGCUUCAAUUUUUGACAUUUUGACAGCAGUUGUUGCAGUUGAAUCAGAAAGUUACUCUCUUGAGUAAUGGCGCACAGCUUUUUCACUUACAAAAACGCGCAAUUUUCUGUGGAUACACACAGCCAGUGUGUACAUACACAUUUGCCAGACAUUUUCCCUCAGCGAAACUGAGCACAAAUUAAAUAUUUAUGUGCAUAAGCUAAAUGUGAAUGGUUGGCGGUACGAUCUCUCUCUCUCUCUCUCUCUCAGCAGCAUAAUGGAGCUCCAAAUUGAGAAGGGAUAAAUUUCGUUUUGGAAAUGAGAUACUUUGCGGCACGUAACUGAUGGAACUUUGAUGGACAGCCGAAGGCACAACAUUGUAUAUGAAAAUACAACAUUAAUAGGGUAAAAAAUUAAAGCGAAAAUUAACGUUAAAAUUUGACUAAUAAUAUGUAAAACUUGAAGUAAAAAUUCGCAUAAAAAUUAAAGUAAAAAUUCGUUUAAAAAAAGUAAAACUAAACGUAAAAAUUGCUGUAUAAAUAAAAAUAAAAACUAGCGUAAAAGUGAAGUGCAGAUUAAUGUUAACAGCAUAGAAAAAAAUGUAUAAAAAUGCAUAAAUAAUUAAAUACAAAUUAACGCAAAAAUUAAAGUAAAAAACUCAGCUAGGAUAAUUUACUCAAUUACCAAGAGGAAACCUUGGCACCGUUAAUCAUUUGUUGAUUAAUAAUAAUGCAAUUUGUGCAUUGUUUUGAUUCCAUUUAAAAAACAGCUAUAAAUAAAUUGAUAUUUAAUUAGUGCAAAAACAUUUUGCGCCUUGUCAAAGGCGAAAAAGGAUCAACUUUGAAUGCUAUAAUUUGUACGGCCAACGAGUUUAUUGCAUUGUUUAAAGCCCGAGCAAGAUGAACAUAAACUAGCUAGCUGUCAAGUUAAAUUUGUUAUUUGCAAAGAGAGUGAGAGAGAGAGAGAGAGAGAGAGAGAGAGAGGCAUGACAAAAAAUGGCACUGGCAUUCAAUGAAUUCAAUGAAUGAAUUCAAUUCAAUUCAAUGCAAUUCGUUCAAUGAGUUAAUAUAAUUAGUAAAAUGUAUUCCAAAAUUGAUUGAAUCAUGCCAUUAUAGUUUAAUAACAUUUUAACGGUUGAGCAAAUUCUAGAAGUGCAUUUUAUGGCCAGACAUUCCAUUUGCAAUGGAAAUUUUGUUGAUUAAAAUAUGAAAUUACAGCACCAGCUCCACUUGAGUGCAAUUACACUGAGAGAGAGAGAGUGAGAGAGCGAGUGUGAGCGAGUUAGCUAUUAAACAUAUUUGACUUGCCGUCGAAGUGAGCAAAAGCCCCUCCCCACACACGGACAGCUCUUGUCGACUGCUGAAGGAUCCUUCACUUCACUCUCUGCCUGUGCCUCUCUGUUGUAUGAUAAUAAUUCAACAAAUUGUUGUUUAACAAGGAGAGACAGCCACAGUCGCGCGCUGCGGCUGGAGUGGGUGCCACCAGGCUCUCGAGCCUCGAGCCUCGAGCCUCGAGCCGCGCGUCGUGUUAAUCGCUUUAUAUGCAAGCGAGUGUGCACAGUGCGGGAGGGGGGUGGAGCGGGGGCAUGAUGUCUUGUUUUAAUGCAGCGAUUCCCUCCCUCUCUCAUUCGCUUGUGUUUUGCGUACCAGGCCCUAGGGCAAUACACGCACAAAUGCCGAAAUAUCUUUUACCUUUUGCUCUCCUUUUCCUUUUCCUUUUCCUUUUCCGUUUCACGAAAUGAAACAAUUAGGAGAAAAAGUUAAGGACCCUCCCCCACCCCUUUGCCGCUCUGUGUGUGGGUUUUUUGGGACAUUUCCCAACCCUUUUUAUAGCUCGGCAAACAUGUGUAUGCUGGUAAACAAGGCUGUGUGUGAGUGUGUGUCUCUGUGUGCGUUUAAUGACAAAAUAAUUAGAAAACUUUUUGUGUACUUUGCCUCUGAGUUGAGUCUCUGCAUCGUAGUUGCCGGCAAACCCAGCCGUUUGCCAGGCCGAUGCCUCACAGCCUCACAGCCUGCCAGUCUCUCCCUGCCCCACCUCGCCCCUGUCAAUGUCACCGCCAAUUUGCUACUUCUGCUCGCCUGUGUGGGGCCACCCUGCUACGCCCUCAAAGCUGUUUUCUCUGGCCUUACAACGUACAUCUGGAAAUUGCCAUAGCAAAAUCAAGUGAGAGAGAGAGAGUGAGAGAGAGUGAGCGCCUGGCCUCGGUGUCUUUGGCAAUUACCAGGCAGGGGUUGCGACAUUGACACCUGUGAGUGGUGGAGCGGGGCAGCAACUUGAAUGCCAGAGCUGCGUAAAUGUUCUAAAUUUAAGCAACGCUGACACACAAUAUUUUCCGUGGGCCCCCCACGCGAUUCUUUCACUUAUUAUUUUGGCCGUGGGUGUGGGACGGAUUAAAUGGCUCAAAGCAGCUUAUUGCUGGGGGGAUUUGGUAUUGGUUUUUAAUUAUACUCGAAUGAAUGCAAUUUGUAUUAAAUGAAGACCACCGCAAGCCGACUGCGGUGUGUGACUAAUGCGCUAAUCCACGAGGCAGGGGCAGACGCUCAUUUGUCGGAAUAUUUUAUUGGUUUGAGCGGGCAGGCAGGUCAGUUAUUAAAUACCUGAACAGAUGGCCACAAAAACUUGCUGCCAGACAGGCUGAAAAUGAGACAGACUUUAGUUGGGCGCACACUGCGUAUGCGUAUCGCUGGCGCUGCUUGGCGGAGUGGAGUGGAGACAAAGCCUGCGGUUUACCACAAAAAGACAAGCUCAGAGGAUGAAGCUGUAACGUAUUGGAAAGUAAAGCCCAACAUUUGAUUCCAAAGCGUGUCCUGAAGGCUAGAGUUGGGAUGGAGCUGCACAAUCCAUGGCCAUAACGAACAUGUUAAUGCAACGCAAAGGCAAAGAUGGCAAGAGGUUUCUUUUUUCUUCAAUAAAUUUGAAGCUGCUGCUCACAUACGUUGCCAAGUAUUUGCACUGACCAAAGGGUAGCAAAAGUAGUAGAAAAAACAUUAAGCUAAAGGCAAACUUUGUUCGGGUGCGCCACGUGCUGGGCGGGCAGUGGGGCAGAGAGCCAGCAGCUAGUUGAUUUUCCACAGUUGAGUUGAGUUUAUUUUGCUGCCACUGUUCGUUGUCCAGGUGAGAGGCAAGUCCUGAAGCUGGAGCCAACAGCCAGCAGCCAGCUCCGACAUUGCAUACAUUUUUGCUGCGUGCCUUGGCUGGGUUUUUGCUGCUGCUGGGCCCCCCGGCCAACUCGAGCGUAAAAUGUUGAUGAAGUAACCGCACAUGCCUGCUGCCUGCUGCUUGCUGCCUGCUGCUUGCUGCCUGCUGCCUGCCCCCAAACUGGCCCCACCUCAAGUGGGUGUUUAGGCGCAAAGUUUUGUGGGGAUUCGGGGCUGUCUAAGCGCAAAUUAGUUUGUCCAGCAAGAGGAGAGCAUCAAAGUUUGGGGUUAGUGCAACAUGCAGCAAAACCCAUGUUCCUUUUUCUCUUUUCCUGCCACUUGUGCCACACAACAUACGUAAAGCGUGGCACAAAAAAUGCCAACGGGAAAAACGAGCAGAGAGAGAGAGAGAGCGAAGAGAAAAAGUUUUCUUUUUGCAACUAGAGCAUGUCAUGAUGCACGGCCAGCAAUGCCACGCUGCCACUAUGGAUGUGUGUGGCACAUGCAUCGUUACCGAAGAACAACAACAGCGAACUCGCAAUUGGGCAUUCGGAUUCACAUUUCGGAUACAGUUCCAAGGACAAUUGUAUAACCAUGUUAAACAGCAAUCAGAGUGGAAAUACACACACAAAUCCCCUGCCCUGCCCUGCCCUGCCCUGCCCGCUGGUAAUUUUGCAUGCAACACUUAAUGCUUGUGGCGAAAGUGGCGUUGAUUUUUUUUCGUUGGGUUCCUUUUUUUGUGCUGUAUUACAUUUCCCUACCAAAACAGUGUCGCUAAAGUUUUGUUGCUGCGGGAAAUGUAUACAAAAUUUGCUGCUGCUGCUGCUGCUGCUGCACUCGAAAUUUGAGUGAGUGCCUGCCGUGCACCCUGCCAGGACGAGGGCUGAGCUGGCUCUGGCUCUGGCUCUGGGAUAUGCAGGCAAGCGUGGCGUGAGAUGUUUGCCAACAUGUACAACAAUGUGGCUGCUGCUGGCUGGUGGUGUUGUUGCCACUGCUUCUGCCGCUGGCUCUGCUGCUGCUGCUGCCGCGUUGUCUAAAGUUUGAAGUGCGCAUAAUAAGCCAGGCAGAGAGCGAGAGAGAGCGAGCGGGAGGUGCACCCAAACUAUGCCAAAUUAGGCACUGCAGAUAGUGCAGAGCGUAGUGAGUGCUCUGCAGUAGAGUUCAAUGAGCUGCCACCCCGCCCGAGUUUACUGUGUUUCUUGUUAGCUUUGGAAAGUGAAACUAAUUUCCGCUGCAGACUUUGCAGUUCAAGUACGAGUAUUCAAGCCACUUUUGGCAUAGUUUUCCAUGUGGGUCACAAGCGCAAUUUAUCCGCGAAUUAUCUUUAUAAACUCAUUCAUCGAAUUACUUGCUAAUCCACUUAAAAAUGAACAACUAAUAAUUCUCUCACCUUCUUACCGUGUCUUGCAGCGGAAUGAAAAGGGAAAAUGCAACAACUGAAGCUCCUCAAUGCCACACGAAAACGGCAGCAGCAGCAGCAGACACAGCCAAAGUUAUGUCCGCGGGGCAAGAACU
Molecule: long non-coding RNA, 13805 nt
Filed under: Drosophila guanche
Lineage: Eukaryota; Metazoa; Arthropoda; Insecta; Diptera; Drosophilidae
Source: RNAcentral